CUUCAGUUCUACUUUUGUCUUGUUUCAAAGAACUGCUCAAUUACUUAUCCGAAGCACAUGGGUUACCUUACAAUUUGCGUGCUGUUGUUUUAAAAAUAUUUUGUUUAUUAUUGUAUUAAGGGGGCUCCUGGGUAUAAAUGAUUUUUUUUUUUCUAAUAUAGGAUUUCGCUAUAUUUUUUCAUAAAUGAACUUUAUCAUAUACUUAAAAGAAAAAUGAAAUAAAAAAAUGGGGUCACCGUUCAUUUAAGCUAAAAUCUGCCUCUGGAAGAAGCAUACAUUUUUGUUAAUGUCCUUUUUUUCUGUUGAACUAAUAGGAGAAAAAGAGGAAAUAUCGAAAUAAAAAAAUAACCUAAUA
This 355-nucleotide long non-coding RNA is filed under the name Mytilus galloprovincialis (Mediterranean mussel). Lineage: Eukaryota; Metazoa; Mollusca; Bivalvia; Mytilida; Mytilidae. The record is from RNAcentral.